AUGACUAGUUAACAAUUAGGUA
Molecule: small nuclear RNA, 22 nt
Filed under: Arabidopsis thaliana (thale cress)
Lineage: Eukaryota; Viridiplantae; Streptophyta; Magnoliopsida; Brassicales; Brassicaceae
Description: snRNA_00887
Source: RNAcentral